ACGCUGGCGGCGUGCCUAAUACAUGCAAGUAGAACGCUGAAGGAGGAGCUUGCUUCUCUGGAUGAGUUGCGAACGGGUGAGUAACGCGUAGGUAACCUGCCUGGUAGCGGGGGAUAACUAUUGGAAACGAUAGCUAAUACCGCAUAACAGUAGAUGUUGCAUGACAUUUGCUUAAAAGGUGCAAUUGCAUCACUACCAGAUGGACCUGCGUCGUAUUAGCUAGUUGGUGGGGUAACGGCUCACCAAGGCGACGAUACAUAGCCGACCUGAGAGGGUGAUCGGCCACACUGGGACUGAGACACGGCCCAGACUCCUACGGGAGGCAGCAGUAGGGAAUCUUCGGCAAUGGACGGAAGUCUGACCGAGCAACGCCGCGUGAGUGAAGAAGGUUUUCGGAUCGUAAAGCUCUGUUGUAAGAGAAGAACAGGUGUGAGAGUGGAAAGUUCACACUGUGACGGUAUCUUACCAGAAAGGGACGGCUAACUACGUGCCAGCAGCCGCGGUAAUACGUAGGUCCCGAGCGUUGUCCGGAUUUAUUGGGCGUAAAGCGAGCGCAGGCGGUUAGAUAAGUCUGAAGUUAAAGGCUGUGGCUUAACCAUAGUACGCUUUGGAAACUGUUUAACUUGAGUGCAAGAGGGGAGAGUGGAAUUCCAUGUGUAGCGGUGAAAUGCGUAGAUAUAUGGAGGAACACCGGUGGCGAAAGCGGCUCUCUGGCUUGUAACUGACGCUGAGGCUCGAAAGCGUGGGGAGCAAACAGGAUUAGAUACCCCUGGUAGUCCACGCCGUAAACGAUGAGUGCUAGGUGUUAGACCCUUUCCGGGGUUUAGUGCCGCAGCUAACGCAUUAAGCACUCCGCCUGGGGAGUACGACCGCAAGGUUGAAACUCAAAGGAAUUGAC
RNAcentral lists this ribosomal RNA (898 nucleotides) under uncultured bacterium. RNAcentral's name for it is "bacterial SSU rRNA". It matches the Rfam family "Bacterial small subunit ribosomal RNA", at positions 33 to 914 of the family's 1533-position model. The record is from RNAcentral.